Molecule: long non-coding RNA, 974 nt
Filed under: Vulpes vulpes (red fox)
Lineage: Eukaryota; Metazoa; Chordata; Mammalia; Carnivora; Canidae
Description: lncRNA (ENSVVUG00000010138.1)
Source: RNAcentral
UUAUGACCCAUGUGUUCCCUAGAGGAAGAAGGGCACACACUUCCAUCAACUGUCUCACACUUAGUGAUGUGUCCUGAGAAGCCUAGGGCUGUUUACGUAUGUGCUGCGUCUUUGUGUAAAUAAGGAAGAGUCCCUAUCCUUAUAGUGGGCACAGCCUUGUGCUAGGGCCAAGGCCUGAGCAAGCAGCCUCCAUGUGCAGCUCUACCUCCAUGCCUGGCCUCUGUGGAGCACCUUUGUAUUGUGUGGGCGCUGCACAGUUGCACUGGGAACCCCAUUGGUCACCUCUAGCUCAGGAGCAGCCUGACUGGCUGCCUGACUUUUUCUCUCUACCAUUUGCUUAUUCCGCUCCUCAGUGCCGUCCUAUCUCCUGCCCUCACUCCCUUCUCAUUCCCAAACUAAGUCCCACCAGGUCACAAGCAGCUUGUUCUCUGGGGACCAUGUACAGAUCAGAGUGGCCCUCCAGAGCCUUGGGGGAGGCCAUCCAGAGCUGAGCCCCUGGAUCAAGGCUAUGUGGGGCUUGUGUGCCAGACCGAGGGAUCAGGGAAGCCUUACUUCUAAGUGCUUGGUUGUGAGGAAAUUGGUAGCACUGACUCAUGGAACGGAGUCCUUCCUGGAUAGGACCCAGGAAGCCACAGUCUCCAUCACUGUUCUUACUUGAGAUUCUUGUUCCAGGUGGCAGAGGUAUCACUUUGGACUUAGAAGUUUCAGCAAAAUGUCUCAAAGGUAUCUUACUUGCUUGCCAAGGCAAGUCCUCUUAUAAAAGGGAGGCUUUAAAAGUCUGUCAAAGGAUACUACCAAGAGGGUGGAUUCAUUAUUUUAAAGCCCUUUCAGGGUCCUCCUACCAUUGCAUUCUUCAUGAACUUCUUUGGAUGGUGACUUGGAAGGUGCUGCUUCUUACUGGCCAAGUCUUAGAAUGUUCCUGCCCAGAAAAUGCCCACUUUGGAACAGAUAUAAUAUGUAAUACUCUGAUAUAG